CCUACGGGAGGCAGCAGUGGAGAAUAUUGCACAAUGGGGGAAACCCUGAUGCAGCGACGCCGCGUGAGUGAAGAAGUAUCUCGGUACGUAAAGCUCUAGCAGCAGGGAAGAAAAUUACGGUACCUGACUAAGAAGCCCCGGCUAACUACGUGCCAGCAGCCGCGGUAAUACGUAGGGGGCAAGCGUUAUCCGGAUUUACUGGGUGUAAAGGGAGCGUAGACGGCAGCACAAGUCUGGAGUGAAGUCCCGGGGCUUAACCCCGGAACUGCUUUGGAAACUGUGCGGCUGGAGUGCAGGAGGGGGAAGCGGAAUUCCUAGUGUAGCGGUGAAAUGCGUAGAUAUUAGGAGGAACACCGGUGGCGAAGGCGGCUUACUGGACUGUAACUGACGUUGAGGCUCGAAAGCGUGGGGAGCAAACAGGAUUAGAUACCCGGGUAGUC
This 440-nucleotide ribosomal RNA is filed under the name uncultured bacterium. RNAcentral's name for it is "partial 16S ribosomal RNA". It matches the Rfam family "Bacterial small subunit ribosomal RNA", at positions 338 to 795 of the family's 1533-position model. The record is from RNAcentral.